GUUCGUUAUACGUCAAAAAAUCAAACAAGAGCAAAAUUUGUUCAACUUGCUGCGAAAUGAGAACAAAACCUAUGAUUUUAACAUUGCUAUUCAGUGCUUUGCUGCUGCACUUAGAGGCAGUCGAAAAGGGCGUAACUGGAAACCAUUUAGAUAUCAGUCGUAUUGUUAAAGUUCUCAGAAUUCCAGAGUCAAAUGAGUACCACAUAAAUAAUAUGCACAACAUGAGAAAAACAAAUGAAGCCAAGACUUUCAGUUCAAUUUUACGCAAAUUCAAGUUAAGAAAUCGCACAAGUUCCCACACUUCCGCAUUUAAAUAUUUUCUGAAGUUCCGCACGCAUCGUGUCCGUUUCACUCCAAGAAAAUUUCUGAAGCGCUUCAAACCCAAAAAGGAAUUCUCUCAAACACAUAAUCGGGUUAAAUUUGAUACUUUGCACAUUAAGCCCCAUUUAGCUGUGCUCUCUAAAGUCUCCCAGAAUCCAAGUGCAUUUGCGAAAAACAAUUAUAUUGUCUUACAGGGAAAACUUCAUCAGAUGCUGCAUGGCAAACACUUUUCGCCAAAACUGAGCGUUGUCAAGCUGAUGUACGCCAUAGUCGAUCGAUUUUAGGAAGCCCGCUACAAGCUGUUGCCCCCAUUGCCGUGCAAAGUCUCGCCAUUAGCUUCCAGUUGGAUUCAAAGUCAGAAUGUGGGAUCGGUUACAAUGAGAGUGGGAGAUGAUCGCAUGAGGGACAGUUUGAUGAGACUCAGGAUCAUGUAUAUUUUAUUUACGAUAUUCGAAACAUAACAAAACAGUUGAGAGAACAUUUCAACAACAGAAAAUCGCAAA
Molecule: small RNA, 824 nt
Filed under: Drosophila virilis
Lineage: Eukaryota; Metazoa; Arthropoda; Insecta; Diptera; Drosophilidae
Description: GJ26935
Source: RNAcentral